RNAcentral lists this unclassified non-coding RNA (324 nucleotides) under soil metagenome. Its description in RNAcentral is "partial contains 5.8S ribosomal RNA, internal transcribed spacer 2, and large subunit ribosomal RNA". The stretch from base 1 to 120 matches the Rfam family "5.8S ribosomal RNA", at positions 35 to 154 of the family's 154-position model. The record is from RNAcentral.
GAUGAAGAACGUAGCGAAAUGCGAUAAGUAGUGUGAAUUGCAGAAUUCAGUGAAUCAUCGAAUCUUUGAACGCACAUUGCGCCCCUUGGUAUUCCAUGGGGCAUGCCUGUUCGAGCGUCAUUUGUACCUUCAAGCUUUGCUUGGUGUUGGGUGUUUGUCCCGAGGGACUCGCCUUAAAGUAAUUGGCAGCCAGUGUUUGGCUUUGAAGCGCAGCACAAGUCGCGAUUCAAGGCUACACGCCCGCUUCCACAAGCCUUUUUUCACUUUUGACCUCGGAUCAGGUAGGGAUACCCGCUGAACUUAAGCAUAUCAAUAAGCGGAGGA